Molecule: long non-coding RNA, 464 nt
Filed under: Spirodela polyrhiza (greater duckweed)
Lineage: Eukaryota; Viridiplantae; Streptophyta; Magnoliopsida; Alismatales; Araceae
Description: long non-coding RNA (SPOL_LNC002655)
Source: RNAcentral
UCCCUCUCCACCGGCAACCAGACCUGUCUCGCCAAGAUCCUCGGCAUCUACCGGGUAUGUCCGGCGGCGCCGCCUCCUCCGCCGCCUGCUGCGUCUGCUUUCGUCUUCCUCUCUGAUUCAUCCCUCCUCCUCUGCGCAGGUGAAGCAGGUUAAGAAUGGCAAGGAGCUAAAGAUUGAUCUGAUGGUCAUGGAGAACCUCCUCUACGGCAGGGAGAUCUCCCGAGUGUACGACCUCAAGGGCGCUGUCUUCUCCCGGUACGUCUCCGACGCCUCCAAGCCCAACGCGGUCCUCCUGGACCAGAACUUCGUCGAGGACAUGGGCUCCUCCCCCCUGUUCCUCGCCGGGAAGACCAAGCACCUCUUCCAGCGGGCCAUCUGGAACGACACCUCCUUCCUCACUGUGAGCAUCCAUUCCCUUCUCUCUCUCUCUCUCUCUCUCUCUCUCUCUCACCUCUCUCUCAUCU